AUGCAGACACUCCAGUGCUCAAACAAGACACAGAGCAAGAAAUUGCACAUACCUUGCUUUGGCCUCGCUCUCGUGCUGCUGGUCUCCUUGGCCUCUCCGGCCAGUUCCUGCACCGAGCAUGAGGAGGCCUCCCUUCUCCAGUUCCAUGCCGGGCUCUCGUGGGACGGCGGCCUCGCCGCGACGUGGCGGAGCAACAAGGACUGCUGCACUUGGGAAGGGGUCAUCUGCAGCAGUCCUAAUAGGACGGUCACUGAUGUUUUGCUGGCUUCUCGAGGCCUCGAGGGGUCCGUCUCGCCGUUCCUUGGCAACCUCACCAGCCUUUUGCGCCUCAACCUCUCUCACAACUCGCUGUCCGGUGGCCUGCCGCUGGAAUUGGUGUCGUCCAGCAGCAUCACUACACUUGAUGUUAGCUUUAACCAGCUCACUGGAAAACUCCACGAACUGGCAUCUCCAACCCCUGCCCAGCCUCUCCAGGUACUGAACAUCUCGAGCAACUUAUUUGCAGGACAGUUUCCAUCCACCACAUGGGAAGCAAUGAAGAAUCUGAGAGCACUCAAUGCCAGUAACAACAGCUUUACAGGGCACAUACCAACUUAUCUCUGUAACAGCUCACCGUCCUUCGCUGUGCUUGAUCUGUGUUUAAACAAAUUCAGUGGCAACAUCCCCCAACAAAUUGGUGAUUGCUCCAAGCUGAGAGAGCUCAGGGUCGGGUACAACAACAUCAGUGGAGAAAUCCCAGACGAACUCUUCAAUGCUACUUUGUUGGAAUACCUGUCUUUUCGUAAUAAUCAUUUAAAUGGAGUUCUUGAUGGUGUGCGCAUAACCAAGCUCAGAAAUCUAGUAACACUUGAUCUUGGAGGGAACAACUUCAGUGGCGAGAUUCCAGAUUCCAUAGGCCAGCUCAAGAAAUUGGAGGAGUUCCAUUUGGACAACAAUAAAUUGUCAGGGGAGCUGCCAUCAGCUCUAAGCAACUGCACGAAUCUCGUAGCAAUUGACCUCAAGAAUAACAAUUUCAGUGGACAGCUCGCCAAGGUCAAUUUCUCCAACCUGCCAAAUCUAAAGACAUUAGAUGUUUACUUCAACAACUUCAACGGCACAGUUCCAGAAAGCAUAUACUCUUGCAGCAAUCUGACUGCACUACGGGUAUCCACCAACAAAUUAAUAGGGCAGCUUUCACCAAGAAUAAGUGAUCUGAAGAACCUCACCUUCCUAUCACUCUCCACAAACUCUUUCAGCAAUAUCACAAACACACUUCACAUCCUAAAGAUCUGCAGGAACCUUACCACUCUGCUAAUCGGCAGUAACUUCAAGGGAGAGCUCAUGCCAGAGGAUGACAGAAUUGAUGGCUUUGAGAAUCUCCAGGUUUUGGACAUUGACAGUUGCCAGUUGUCUGGAAAAAUACCUCUAUGGAUAUCAAGGCUCACAAAUUUGGAGAUCUUACUUUUAAAUAGCAAUCAACUCACUGGACCGAUACCAGGCUGGAUCAACUCCCUAAGCCAUCUCUUCUUUAUGGAUGUGUCAAACAACAAUCUUACAGGAGAAAUCCCGUUAACCUUGAUGGAGAUGCCAAUGCUAAAAUCAAUUGAAAAUGCAACUCAAUGGGACCCAAGGGUCUUUGAGUUGCCUGUUUACAGUGGUCCAUCACUUCAAUACCGUGUUGUUACAUCUUUUCCAACGGUGUUGAAUCUAAGCAACAAUCAGUUCACUGGUGUGAUUCCCCCACAGAUUGGUCAGUUGAAAGUGCUUGUUGUACUUGAUUUAAGUUUCAACAAGUUAUCCGGACAGAUCCCACUGUCGAUUUGCAACCUCACAAACUUGCAGGUGCUAGACUUGUCCAGCAACAGUCUAACAGGUGCUAUCCCAGCUGCAUUGAAUAGCCUACACUUCCUUUCAGCAUUCAGCAUUUCGAACAAUGACCUAGAAGGGCCUAUUCCAUCUGGAGGCCAGUUCAAUACAUUCCAGAAUUCUAGUUUCGAUGGGAAUCCAAAGCUGUGUGGCUCUAUUCUCACUCACAAAUGUGAUUCUUCAAUACACCCGUCCUCCAGAAAACAACGAGAUAAGAAAUUUGCUUUCGCAAUUGGAUUUGGUGUGUUCUUUGGAGGUAUUGCUAUUCUGCUGUUGCUGGUGCGACUCCUUCUCUCAGUCAAGAUGAAGGGUUUUACAGAGAAAAAUGGAAGCAAGAAUAGCGGAGAUGUUGAAGCGACUUCAUUCUACUCCAGUUCAGAGGAAACACUAGUAGUGAUGCACAUGCCACAAGGCAAGGGAGAAGGAAACAAGCUCAAAUUCUCUGACAUUUUGAAAGCUACGAACAACUUUGACAAGGAGAACAUCAUUGGGUGUGGAGGCUAUGGGUUAGUCUACAAGGCAGAGCUACAUGAUGGCUCCAAAUUGGCAAUUAAAAAGCUCAACGGUGAAAUGUGUCUGAUGGAAAGGGAAUUCAGUGCAGAGGUUGAUGCUCUCUCCAUGGCACAGCAUGAAAAUCUUGUACCACUCUGGGGUUACUGCGUCCAGGGACACUCAAGGCUCCUCAUGUAUUCCUACAUGGAGAAUGGCAGCCUAGAUGAUUGGCUUCAUAACAGAGAUGAUGGCACUAGCUCAUUUCUUGACUGGCCGACUCGGCUCAAGAUCGCACGAGGAGCCAGCCUAGGCCUCUCCUAUAUCCAUGAUAUCUGCAAGCCUCAAAUUGUACACCGUGACAUCAAAUCCAGUAAUAUCCUAUUGGACAAAGAAUUUAAAGCUUACCUUGCAGAUUUUGGGCUAGCCAGAUUGAUCCUUCCCAACAAAACUCAUGUUACAACUGAGUUGGUCGGCACUAUGGGUUACAUUCCCCCUGAGUAUGGGCAAGCGUGGGUUGCUACGUUGAGAGGAGAUAUAUACAGUUUUGGGGUAGUCCUGCUUGAGCUGCUCACAGGAAGGCGACCUGUUCCAGUUUCGUCUACAACAAAAGAACUUGUCCCAUGGGUUCUACAGAUGAGGUCUGAGGGCAAGCAGAUUGAGGUCCUGGAUCCAACACUUCGAGAAACAGGGUAUGAAGAGCAAAUGCUGAAGGUGCUUGAAACUGCUUGCAGGUGUGUCAAUCAUAAUCAGUUCAGGAGGCCAACUAUCAUGGAAGUGGUCUCCUGCUUGGGCAGUAUAGACACUGAUCUGCGGACAUAA
Molecule: ribosomal RNA, 3156 nt
Filed under: Triticum aestivum (bread wheat)
Lineage: Eukaryota; Viridiplantae; Streptophyta; Magnoliopsida; Poales; Poaceae
Description: partial small subunit ribosomal RNA
Source: RNAcentral